RNAcentral lists this long non-coding RNA (1310 nucleotides) under Vulpes vulpes (red fox). RNAcentral's name for it is "lncRNA (ENSVVUG00000019715.1)". The record is from RNAcentral. Lineage: Eukaryota; Metazoa; Chordata; Mammalia; Carnivora; Canidae.
GGCCAAGUGAGAAAUGCAUGAAUUCUAACCCAAAACUCCUGAGUUUCUGCCACAUGAAUUGCUGUUUCAGAAACUAGUUAUGAAUCAUUUGCAGCCCGACAUCAACUGAAAGACCAGUUAACUUAGUCCUUUAUCUGGAGUCUCCCAAUUCUAAUGUUUUCUUUUCUUUUUUUUUUUAAGAUUUUAUUUAUUUAUUUAUAGAGACACAGAGAGAGAAUGAGAGGCAGAGACACGGCAGAGGGAGAAGCAGGCUCCAUGCAGGGAGCCCAACGUGGGACUCGAUCCAGAGUCUCCAGGAUCACUCCCCGGGCUGCAGGAAGCGCUAAACCACUGCAUCACCGGGGCUGCCCUGGAGUCUCCCAAUUCUAAAUCAAUAAUUUAUGAGAUCCGCAUGCAACUAAGUUAUGUGAACCUGAUGCUCUGCCUCACAGCAAAGCCUUCACAGUGUUCUCAUUUAAGCUUUGGAGGUGUUGACUCCAUGGAUCUGGGUGGAACAGGAUUCUCAGACUUCAGGCAGCCCCUCAUUCUCCAGGACUUCGCAGGAGGCUUCCUGAUUUCAGCUGGAUUUGAACCAGGAGGCUGGAGAAGCUGGGAGCUGCCCUGGAUCCUAAGGAUGAAGCUUGCACAGAGAAAGAGUGUUUCCCGAACAGGAAGUGCUGCUACAGAAGAGAGGCAUCCCUGUUGGCGCUGAUUCAUUUUCAUUUGCAUUCUCAAACUCUUCAAUUAGAAAUGCACCGUGAUCCAGCAGACAGUUUUCCUUCCCUCCGCCACAGUGCCGCGUCGCGGUGUGUGCGAGCUUUAGGGGCCCUGUCUGCCUCUGAAUGUCUCAUUUAUAAAAUGAAAAUCCUCUUGGUCUUGAUGCACAUUGGAAUUUUUAUGAACUUCUGCAAAGAGGCUGGCUUGCUAUUUUUUUUUUCAUUUUUGUAAAGUCAGUAUUGUUUUUUAGUGACUUUUUUGUGGGUGGACUUAAAGUUGCAUUUGUUUUCCUUUUUUUUUUUUCAUUUUUAACCAGUGCGUAGGGGAUAUGGCCUGGGCAUCCAACACAGUUUAGGGGCCCUUGGGUGACAAAGUUAAUGGUGAGAUCUCCUUCUCCCGGAAAAUUGACACUGGGGUGAUACUGUGAACUCACAUAUGCUCACUCCCCUUAGCCCAUGUCCCUGGCAGCCACUGAUCCAUCCAUGCUCCAAGUCUGACAUUUUUAGACUAUUACAUAAAUGGUAUCUUUGUGUUUUUGACUCUAGUUUGUGGUUAUGCCUGUUUUCCCAUUUAUGCCCACUUAUUUUCAAACUAUUCUUAACCCUACUUUUACA